This 267-nucleotide long non-coding RNA is filed under the name Homo sapiens (human). RNAcentral describes it as "non-protein coding lnc-MYO10-17:1". The record is from RNAcentral. Lineage: Eukaryota; Metazoa; Chordata; Mammalia; Primates; Hominidae.
GUGUCUGUGGUGGGAAAGGGAGAGAGGCAUCCUGUAAAAGUCUGAUGCAUUCCAUCAGGUGCAGGUCAGUGUCCUAGAACCAGGUUACUGCCGUGGACAUGGCUGUAAUGACCCAGGUCUUUGUCGGGGAGGUGGUAGGAGAAGCCCUGGACGUGUGUGAGAUGUGGGAAGAAGCCCCAGUUACACCCCGGACAUUGGAAAAAGGCCUUUCACAGGGGACAACCCAGGUACUGUUUCCCCAACAUCCAGUACAAAAAAAAAUCAUCA